CCUACGGGAGGCAGCAGUGGGGAAUAUUGGACAAUGGGGGGAACCCUGAUCCAGCCAUGCCGCGUGUGUGAAGAAGGCCUUUUGGUUGUAAAGCACUUUAAGCGAGGAGGAGGCUACCGAGAUUAAUACUCUUGGAUAGUGGACGUUACUCGCAGAAUAAGCACCGGCUAACUCUGUGCCAGCAGCCGCGGUAAUACAGAGGGUGCAAGCGUUAAUCGGAUUUACUGGGCGUAAAGCGCGCGUAGGUGGCCAAUUAAGUCAAAUGUGAAAUCCCCGAGCUUAACUUGGGAAUUGCAUUCGAUACUGGUUGGCUAGAGUAUGGGAGAGGAUGGUAGAAUUCCAGGUGUAGCGGUGAAAUGCGUAGAGAUCUGGAGGAAUACCGAUGGCGAAGGCAGCCAUCUGGCCUAAUACUGACACUGAGGUGCGAAAGCAUGGGGAGCAAACAGGAUUAGAUACCCUGGUAGUCCAUGCCGUAAACGAUGUCUACUAGCCGUUGGGGCCUUUGAGGCUUUAGUGGCGCAGCUAACGCGAUAAGUAGACCGCCUGGGGAGUACGGUCGCAAGACUAAAACUCAAAGGAAUUGACGGGGGCCCGCACAAGCGGCGGAGCAUGCGGAUUAAUUCGAUGCAACGCGAAGAACCUUAC
This 645-nucleotide ribosomal RNA is filed under the name uncultured Acinetobacter sp. RNAcentral's name for it is "bacterial SSU rRNA". It matches the Rfam family "Bacterial small subunit ribosomal RNA", at positions 338 to 974 of the family's 1533-position model. Lineage: Bacteria; Pseudomonadati; Pseudomonadota; Gammaproteobacteria; Moraxellales; Moraxellaceae. The record is from RNAcentral.